CAUACUUCAAUAAACUCUGGCUAACCUUCUGAUCUACCCUGUACCUGCACAUCUGGGGUUAGGGGAGAGGGGUGAGCUACAAAGCCCAGUGAGCAGAAUAGUAUAAAACAUUAUAUUAAAAUUUUAUGCUUUCAUGGAAUGCAACACAUCACAACAAAUCACAUCUCGGAUGGUAUUGUCACCUAUAGUCCUCUACAUAGGUCCAACUGUGCCGGGACGUAGAAUGGGUCAACCGGUCUUUCCCUUAUCAUAAUAUAUCAUAUGGACCAACUGUGCCAGGGACGUAGAAUGGGUACAACCUGGACUUUCUCUUACAUCGUGCCAGGGACGUAGAAUGGGUACAACCUGGACUUCCAUACCAUAACAUGCCGUAACAUCAAUCAUAUCAUAGGAGGACUAAAGGAUCAUCCAAUAACCAAUCCACAUCAACAUUAACAUCAUAAUGCAAUGCAACAUAUUCGUGAAUACUAAUGCAAGCAACCUAUUAUAUCUCAUGGCAUUCAUGAUGCAUGGAUCAUGCUCAAAAUUCAUAUUUUCAUUUAUUUAAAACUUAAGGUUUAUUCCACUCACCUCUGGCUAGCUCUGACAAACUCUGUAGCAGCUGGCUCACUGCUGGGGUCCUCGGUUCCUCGGGUCCGAACCUACACAGGUGGACUCCAAUGAGGGACCAAACAUACAUAAACAUAACUCUAAUAUAUUCCCCAAAAAACCCCCUAAAACAUCAUGAAAUAAUCACAUAACAACAUGCAAGAAAUGGCUGGACAGGGCACUUUCGGCGGCACCUUCGGCGGCCGAAAGUCCCUCCAGAGCCGAAAGUCAGGCAGGUUCGGCGGCACCUUCGGCGGCCGAAACUCCCAGACAGAGACGAAACUCAUGCAUGUUCGGCGGCACCUUCGGCGGCCGAAAGUCCCAGACAGAGACGAAAGUCUCCCUUCGGGGGCAACUUCGGCAGCCGAAAGGCCUGCCUCACCAGCCAUGUUCGGCGGCCGAAAGUGCCUUCGGCUGCCGAACCUGGUUUCUGCCGAAGGGCAGAAACUUGGCUCCCAAAUGCAUUUUCGCCUCCAAACUCACCAAUCAUGCAUAUACCUCAGUUAAAUCAUGCAUACAAGUUCCUAGGGGCCUCAAAACAUCAAAUACCCCAACUACAACACUUCAAACACACAAAAACAACAUACAUUGUCCAAGACAUCAAGAUUAACCCAUAACUCCACAUAUAACCUAACAUGCAUUUCUACUCUUCGAUCUAGCAUAAAACUUAUUGAAAACACAUAAGGAGCUUAAGAUCGGCUCUUACCUCUUGAAGAUCGAGAGAGAGACGACCUAAACUUGGAGAUCCAAGAAGAUGAGCUCCUGAGUUCCCAAAGCUCCAAAACUUGUUUCAAAAGUUCAAAACCUUCAAUGCAAGCUUAAAACUCAAGAGAGAUGGUGGGGAUUUGGAGGAAGAACACUAGGUUUGCAAAGGGAAAGUCGGAAGCUUGCUG
RNAcentral lists this long non-coding RNA (1481 nucleotides) under Manihot esculenta (cassava). Its description in RNAcentral is "long non-coding RNA (MESC_LNC007200)". Lineage: Eukaryota; Viridiplantae; Streptophyta; Magnoliopsida; Malpighiales; Euphorbiaceae. The record is from RNAcentral.